GCAAACAUUACGGCAAAUACUGGGCCACACGCACCCCUUAGGCUGUGAUGCCAGUGGAACUAGUGUCUGUCCUGAAACAGCUCAGCUCCUAGAUUUCCUGCUUCCUGUACCUCCCUUUCCACCCGCAGUCGUGUGGGGACAGAGGCCCGUGCACUUCUGCUGCUUCCUCCCCACCAGAGCAGUCUCCUUGCUGGGAUACUGAGUGCUCCGGAGAUGCCCGAAAAGGAUGAGCUAGCCCUGCAGGUGAUAAAUGAGCAGCAAGGGAAGGUGACUCGCUCACACAUCCUGCUCUGGUGUAUACGUGUCUGGUGACUGAACUGCAGGGUACCCCGGGAGAGCUCUGUCUGCGCUGGCGUUUGGGAAUGGGAGUCCGGAUCUGUGCACUGAUGAGACCUGCCGAGUAUCCUGGGCUUGAGAGGGAGCCGCGCGUGAGCUCGGGAGGGCUAGAGGCAGGGUUCUGCCUUGUGUGCUUUCAUUUCUGAUGUCUUCUGCUCUGGCUUUCCACCAUGUCACACCAACCACUCUGCUCGUAUGGCUCAAAGGCCAAGCUGGGGCAGCUGGGGCCAGCCCCCAUCCACGGGGGAAGAAAAUUAGCAAUAAUGAACUUCAAGGCACUGGUAACUGGAAAACCCAGACUGCACAAGAGACUCGUAUGCAAUCAGGUUCCGAAGACCAUCAGUCUCCUGGCCAGCCCUCUUCUCAUCCAGCACCCACAGACUGAUUUACAACACAUCCUGGCCCUCGGUACCACGCACGACUUUCAGCCUGGCUGGCCGUGUGGUUUGCCUGUGGCCCAGGAAAGCAGGGGAAUCGCUCCAUUUUCUGAACUGUUGUGUUGACGACAUUGAGCCGCUGGGAUCCAGCCUGCUGGGCGACUAUUGCAUAUUCCAUCACCGAGGCAUUUAGACCUAACUCCUUUUGAGACACACGUUAUGUAACGGUGGGAGCACAGACGGUUCUCUGCUCCACAGCUCUUCACUCGUGCCGUUCUUUGUUUGGGUGACCAGACAGCUAAUGUGAAAAAUCAGGGCAGGGGCAGGGGGUAAUAGGAGCCUAUAUAAGAAAACCCCCAAAAUCGGGACUGUCCCAAUAAAACCGGGACAUAUGGUCA
Molecule: long non-coding RNA, 1111 nt
Filed under: Chrysemys picta bellii (western painted turtle)
Lineage: Eukaryota; Metazoa; Chordata; Testudines; Emydidae
Description: lncRNA (ENSCPBG00000007507.1)
Source: RNAcentral